CGUACGGGUGGCAGCAGUAGGGAAUGUUGCGCAAUGGGCGAAAGCCUGACGCAGCAACGCCGCGUGAUCGAGACGGCCUUCGGGGUGGAAAGAGCUGUUAGGGGGGACGAAACGUGACGGUACCCACAGAGGAAGCAACGGCUAACGCCGUGCCAGCAGCCGCGGUAAUACGGGGGGUGCAAGCGUUGUCCGGAAUCAUGGGGCGGACAGAGUUCGUAGGCGGCACUGAAAGUCUGGUGUUAAAGGCAGCGGCUCAACGUCGGGACGGCACUGGAUACUUGCGAGCUAGAAUGCGGUAGAGGUAACGGGCAUUCCUGUUGUCGCGGUGAAAUGCUUAGCUAUCAGGAGGAACAUCGGUGGCGUACGCGCUUUACUGGGCCGUCCUUGACGCUGCGGAACGACAGCCCGGGUAGCA
Molecule: ribosomal RNA, 415 nt
Filed under: uncultured bacterium
Lineage: Bacteria
Description: partial 16S ribosomal RNA
Rfam family: Bacterial small subunit ribosomal RNA
Source: RNAcentral